CGGGGCGUGGCUCAGUCUGGCAGAGCACCUGGUUCGGGAUCAGGGGGUCGCAGGUUCAAAUCCUGCCGCCCCGA
This 74-nucleotide transfer RNA is filed under the name Gammaproteobacteria bacterium. RNAcentral's name for it is "tRNA-Pro". It matches the Rfam family "tRNA". From Rfam's summary of the family: Transfer RNA (tRNA) molecules are approximately 80 nucleotides in length. Their secondary structure includes four short double-helical elements and three loops (D, anti-codon, and T loops). Further hydrogen bonds mediate the characteristic L-shaped molecular structure. tRNAs have two regions of fundamental functional importance: the anti-codon, which is responsible for specific mRNA codon recognition, and the 3' end, to which the tRNAs corresponding amino acid is attached (by aminoacyl-tRNA synthetases). tRNAs cope with the degeneracy of the genetic code in two manners: having more than one tRNA (with a specific anti-codon) for a particular amino acid; and 'wobble' base-pairing, i.e. permitting non-standard base-pairing at the 3rd anti-codon position. The record is from RNAcentral. Lineage: Bacteria; Pseudomonadati; Pseudomonadota; Gammaproteobacteria. RNAcentral also lists the same sequence under 4 other names.